CAGUAGCCGCGGUAAUACGUAGGUGGCAAGCGUUGUCCGGAAUUAUUGGGCGUAAAGGGCUCGCAGGCGGUUUCUUAAGUCUGAUGUGAAAGCCCCCGGCUCAACCGGGGAGGGUUAUUGGAAACUGGGAAACUUGAGUGCAGAAGAGGAGAGUGGAAUUCCACGUGUAGCGGUGAAAUGCGUAGAGAUGUGGAGGAACACCAGUGGCGAAGGCGACUCUCUGGUCUGUAACUGACGCUGAGGAGCGAAAGCGUGGGGAGCGAACAGGAUUAGAUACCCGCGUAGUCCCUGUCUCUUAUAC
Molecule: ribosomal RNA, 301 nt
Filed under: uncultured bacterium
Lineage: Bacteria
Description: partial 16S ribosomal RNA
Rfam family: Bacterial small subunit ribosomal RNA
Source: RNAcentral